This 256-nucleotide ribosomal RNA is filed under the name uncultured bacterium. RNAcentral describes it as "partial 16S ribosomal RNA". It matches the Rfam family "Bacterial small subunit ribosomal RNA", at positions 15 to 264 of the family's 1533-position model. The record is from RNAcentral.
GAUCCUGGCUCAGAUUGAACGCUGGCGGCAGGCCUAACACAUGCAAGUCGAACGGUAACAGGAAACAGCUUGCUGUUUCGCUGACGAGUGGCGGACGGGUGAGUAAUGUCUUGGAAACUGCCUGAUGGAGGGGGGAUAACUACUGGAAACGGUAGCUAAUACCGCAUAACGUCGCAAGACCAAAGAGGGGGACCUUCGGGCCGUCUUGCCAUCGGAUGUGCCCACGAUGGGAUUAGCUAGUAGGUGGGGUAACGGG